Molecule: long non-coding RNA, 1420 nt
Filed under: Oreochromis niloticus (Nile tilapia)
Lineage: Eukaryota; Metazoa; Chordata; Actinopteri; Cichliformes; Cichlidae
Description: lncRNA (ENSONIG00000041130.1)
Source: RNAcentral
CAAAUCCGAAGAAAGGCGCCGACUUCGACCAGCAAGAGAGCCACGCAGCAUGUAACCUGAAGGUUAAAGGUGAAAAUCGGAAAGCGGUGGACCGAUCGAGCGAAGCCGACGGCUAACGUUCAGCUGGGCUCGAGAUUCCUGCAGACUCUGCCCACUUCCGGAUCCAACAUGGUGGCAGGUGACGUAAAAACGUGGCCUGAAGUGAUCCGCGGACGCCUCCGGCCUCGUGCUUUCAACAGAGCGCAGCGGGAAGUUUGCAGGGGGGUUUGGAGCCUAUCCCAGCUGUUCUAGGUUGAGAGCUGAAUACACGAGUAGCCUGUCAAGACACAAAUCAACCUAGCAUGCCUGCUUUUGGAGGAAACCAGAGUACCCAGAGAGAACCCAUGUCGAGGACAGGUGAGCACAGUGCUAACCACAGCCCCAUCAUGCUGACACAUUAGAUUAAAAUCCCCUUAGAUGCUGCUGUUAUGUACAUAAAAACAAAAGUUGAGCCGUUUAGAGACAACUUUUUAUUUUACAUAAACAAAUCUAACAUGUGGGUUGUCACUGAUUAACGUUCUGUCAAUAUGAUGUUGUGUAAUACAGGCCUAAAAUAAUAUUUACAAUUCCAUAUAAUGUGCUUUUUGCAUAUGCUAAAAUUUUGUUUUACUGACAUCUUUGGGUAUGACUAACACAGAUAUUGGAUGAUCGUUUUUAAGCCCUAUUUUCAUAUCUUCAAUACAAUAACCAAAGCUUCUAAGUCAUCUAGGACACCGGCACAGUUCACAAAGGGCUGUGUGGUUGUGUAGUAAAAGUUUUCACUCUGCAAUAAAUUAGUGUUCAUGUUUGCUACUUUUCACAAUUUUGAAUGUGUUCACAGACAGUUACUCACAAGUGCACUUUAACCCUAAAACCUAAAAAACUUUUUUGUUUAAAAUAUUUAGAGCCGUGUAAACAGGAUACCGCGCCAUGGCAUCAGUGAACUCUUGUUUAUUUCCUCUUCAUAAAUCAUAUUCAUUCAACUUCGUUUCCAUCUAGACUAGCUCUAUACCCCACCAAUGGCUCCCCACCCACAGUUUGACAACCCCUGAUUUAGUGAAACCUGUAAAACGUUCCUUCCUCCACAGACAGACUGGCACAGCUUCAUUUUUGUAAAUCUUUUUCAAUUUUUUCACAUUUUAAUAUGACUUUGCUGUUGAAAUCAGAAGGUCGAGCUGCCACACCGACCGAACCCUGUAUGUUAAACUGAGUCUAUUUUAGUCUUACUGUUGAGCUGUAGUCUCCAGACACCACUGUGCCGCUUUGACUGCUAAGAUUUUCCCAUGGGCUCCACAUAGGUUAUAAAGUCUUGUGCAUGAUUAAACUCCCACACCCACUUUCAGGGACUGAAACAAUAAUUCAGGCUUUGACUUUAGUCCCAGUAACUUAAGCUUCCCAUGUG